GGUUACCCAUGGGGGUGCCCGGAAACGGGCUGAGAAAAGCGUGCGCGCGCUUUACCCUUGGAACCUGACCUGGGUCAUGCCAGCGGAGGGAAUGGGUGGUUAGCUUUU
RNAcentral lists this non-coding RNA (108 nucleotides) under Desulforudis. RNAcentral's name for it is "Candidatus Desulforudis TPP sequence". It matches the Rfam family "TPP riboswitch aptamer (THI element)". Rfam says of the family: Vitamin B(1) in its active form thiamin pyrophosphate (TPP) is an essential coenzyme that is synthesised by coupling of pyrimidine and thiazole moieties in bacteria. The previously detected thiamin-regulatory element, thi box was extended, resulting in a new, highly conserved RNA secondary structure, the THI element, which is widely distributed in eubacteria and also occurs in some archaea. RNAcentral also lists the same sequence under 1 other name. Lineage: Bacteria; Bacillati; Bacillota; Clostridia; Thermoanaerobacterales; Desulforudaceae. The record is from RNAcentral.